GACGAACGCUGGCGGCGUGCCUAAUACAUGCAAGUCGAACGAGAGCGACCGGUGCUUGCACUGGUCAAUCUAGUGGCGAACGGGUGAGUAACACGUGGGUAACCUGCCCAUCAGAGGGGGAUAACAUCCGGAAACGGAUGCUAAAACCGCAUAGGUCUUCGAACCGCAUGGUUUGAAGAGGAAAAGAGGCGCAAGCUUCUGCUGAUGGAUGGACCCGCGGUGCAUUAGCUAGUUGGUGAGGUAACGGCUCACCAAGGCCGUGAUGCAUAGCCGACCUGAGAGGGUGAUCGGCCACAUUGGGACUGAGACACGGCCCAAACUCCUAUGGGAGGCAGCAGUAGGGAAUCUUCCGCAAUGGACGCAGGUCUGACGGAGCAACGCCGCGUGAGUGAAGAAGGUUUUCGGAUCGUAAAACUCUGUUGUUAGAGAAGAACAAGUGCUAGAGUAACUGUUAGCGCCUUGACGGUAUCUAACCAGAAAGCCACGGCUAACUACGUG
Molecule: ribosomal RNA, 498 nt
Filed under: uncultured bacterium
Lineage: Bacteria
Description: partial 16S ribosomal RNA
Rfam family: Bacterial small subunit ribosomal RNA
Source: RNAcentral